RNAcentral lists this long non-coding RNA (6920 nucleotides) under Podarcis lilfordi (Lilford's wall lizard). Lineage: Eukaryota; Metazoa; Chordata; Lepidosauria; Squamata; Lacertidae. The record is from RNAcentral.
UCCUUCAGAGCGGAGAUUGAGCUUGUGGCCAUACUGAUAUCUUGUAUUCUAGCCUUUUAUUUUUGUGACUCAUGCUGGAAGAAAGCAGGCAAAAAUAUUUUUCAUCUCACAGGGUUCAUUGCCAGGGGCAGAGUUGCUUUACUAGCUCGCUGCUGGCUGAAAUGCAGCCGGCUGUCAGCCAACGGUGCUUUCGUUCAGAUGCUGGAAGUCUUUAUUAAUAAAUACCUUCCCACCAACAUCUAACAACAUCAUUCAGAAAACAGGAUGAGCUGAAGCAGGGAUGGGGAACUUCUGGCUAGCAGACUGAUUGUAACUCAGGUGCUGAGAUUUCCCCAAGGUUACAUCCCCUGUCCCAGGACGUGCCUUUAUGUGCUUUUGCUUGUGUUCAGGUCAUGCUGAGAGGUACCUGUAAGUGAGGGGCACAUGGGGCUCAUCAGCCUGGGAAGGAAAACUCUGAACCUAAACCUCCAACUGCCUUGUGGGAUAUCUUUGGGAGAAGAAAAGACUAAGGAGUAAACCCUGCACAAAUCUGGAGUGGAGUCCUUAAGAUGGUUGGAUGGUGUGUUGUUCCUUCUGGAACUCCUGCAGCCUAGCUGGUGCCAAACAUAUGGCUCUGCUUUCCUUUGGACUACAUCAGCGAGGCCGAGAGUCGGGUCUUAUCCUCUGGGCAGCCCAGGACCUCCAUACACACUGCCCAGGUUUGUUCCCUGGGGAGGUCAUUUGGUGCUGUUAACACAGCGGUUUGACUUCACGCCUGGAAGCACGCUAUUGCCAGCAAAAACAUUUCAAUGAUUGCUGCAUUUUACAACAUACCUUUUCCCUUACAUAUUUAAAUGGAGACAUUUGAUUUUAUGACAAUUUCCCCUAUUAUCAUUAGCAUUCAUCUUUAAGCUUAGAUUAAAUGUGCGGGGAAAGGCGGGGAAGAUGACUGAUUUUACUCCUAGUUCUUGUGCCACACUGUCCUAUAACCGCACAGCUCUGUAAGGGUGCUGCAGAGAAGAAUCACUGUUCUAAAUUGCAAUUAGACUGGAUAUUUCUCAUUCUUCCUUCCGCUCUUUGCAAAAUAAUACAACACCACACAAACUUUUCUGCUGGUAUAUAUUUGGGGAGGGGGGCACACUGUACACUGAGAGCCAGUGUGGUGUAGUGGUUAAGAGCGGUAGAUUCGUAAUCUGGGGAACCGGGUUCGUGUCUCCGCUCCUCCACAUGCAGCUGCUGGGUGAUCUUGGGUUAGUCACACCUCUCUGAAGUCUCUCAGCCCCACUCACCUCACAGAGUGUUUGUUGUGGGGGAGGAAGGGAAAGGGAAAUGUUAGCCGCUUUGAGACUCCUUCGGGUAGUGAUAAAGCGGGAUAGCAAAUCCAAACUCCUCUUCCUCCUCCUCCUCCUCUUCUUCUUUUUUAGAAUAUUAAAUACAUUGGAAAGACAGACAGAAAUGAAAUUUUGAUGAACGCACACUACAGUAAUUUACAUUGCUUCAGAGAAGAGGCCAGCUGCCAAACUUUCUGCGCUUACUUUGAAAAUAGUUCUAGACAAGGACCUGUUUAAAUAAGACAAUGUAAUGACUGAUGUGCUGCGGCAUGAUUGAUAUACAUUGAAAAGACGUGUCAGAAUUCUAACAUUUAAAAAGUGCCUUAUCUUAAAAAUGUACAAAAGCAAACGGAACAAGCUGGGAAAUUAGCAGUCAAAAUAGAUCGUUGAAACCAUGUUAUAAAUAGCAAAUAUAAAAAUAAGUAGGAUUUCUCUGUCAUUUCAAAUAAUUUUGCUGUUACUUGUUAAGUGACUGUUAGAGCACUUUAGGACUGAGUUUUAAGUCAUAAAUCAUGAUGAGGCCCUGCCUGUGAUUUCAGAGGUGGCAAUAUUGUAUGGUGGCAAUAAGGAAGUUGUAUACCUGGCUGACAACACACACGUUUGCCUUCCCAGGUGUAUCAUCUGUGUUUUUUCUGCCAUCAUUACUUACAGACUUUCAGGGAUAAUUUCCCAUUAUAUACUGGAAACAACAUUCAUAUCAAUAGCCCAUUUGCUAUUGGCCCCAGUGGCUGCAGGCUAAAGCAAGACUGGAUACAGUGCAGCAGCAGCAGCAGCAGCAGCAGCACACUUACACCACUAUGUGGCAGAAUUGUGCAUAUUUAGACAAUGGCCCAGUUUGCAUGCCACCUUCAACCACAGUUAAUUUAAAGAAUGAACAGUAUGCUGGCGCAUACUGUUCAGAAGUUUGUGCUUCACUCCUUCCCCGCACCUGCCUGCUGCCUUCUGGGGCAGAAGCAAGCCAGAUAGGUUACAUGCAGGUAUGGGUUCAUGGUUUGUGUCCCACAAACAAACCACGAUCAGUAAGCCAAAACCAAACCUUAGGUUCCACUUGUGAUUUGCUUGGAGAGAAACAAACCAGUAGUCUGGUUUUACACUGUGUCCUUUCUGGUGCAGAAGCAGCAGGACUGGGGGUAGAGUGAAGCGCAGACAUGAGCAGUGUGCAGCAGUGACUGCAUUGUUUGCUUGCAUUAAACAAUCAUUUGUCUUACUUGUAGCUUAAUGUGCAAACUAGGCAGAAAGUUAAUUUCCUGGACAGAACUGAUAAUGAGGCAAGAGGGGCAUAUUAGACAAGGGGAAAGGGAAAGGGAAAGAAAGAAAAGGAAGAUUGAUGCUAGUGACAUAUAUGACCAUCUCAAAAGAAAGUUUGGAAAAUGUCUAUCGUGAUUAGGGAACUAGGAUUAGCAACAUUACAGGUGCCCAGACAAAGAAAGAGGAUGUGGGUACAAUCUGCUUUACCAGUGGGGAAGAAGUGAGAAUAAAGAUUGAGAAAGCUGAGGACAAUACACCGGCUUUCUGUUUUCCUGGAUCACUGGCAAAAAGAUUUCUGAGUACUUUAUUGGUGAAAAUAUUCAGAAUUCUGUCCUCAUGAAGGAUCUAACAGACAGAUCUCUUGCAUUCUCUUGGCUACACACCUUGUGUGUAUCACACCUUGUCAGGAGGGUUAAAUAUUGUGUUAUGGUAUAAUGUGCUUCUUGGCAGCUCACAUUGAGCAGGGGACAUAUUACUGUGUUUUGUACCAGCUGUGCCCUCUGAAUACUGGCAGGCCAACAGAUAAAGUCCUAAGAUGGCAAAAACAUGAUAACAAUUACUGUCGGAAUACAAAACUUCCAGCCUUUACAGUAUAAUAGGGUAAUCCAAUGCUCAAGGAGCUGGCGCAAAGCAUGCUGGCCCAAUUGAGGCUGCUGUAUAGUCCAUCAGAAGCCCAGAGGAGGUGAAAGUACUAAGCUGAGCAGGUAUUUACAAAGCAAAUACACAAAAUACAGAAUGUUGGUGUAUCCAACCUUGCUGCCAGCUGUUGAUGUACACAGAGGAGUAUUUAUAAAUCACUCGGUUCUGCUUUGGUCAGACCUCACCCGGAAUACCGUUUCCAGUUCUGGGCACCACAUUUUAAGGGGGAUAUCGACAAGCUGGAACACGUGUAGAGGAGGGCGACCAAGGUGAUAAAGGAUCUGGAAGCCAAGCCUUAUGAGGAAUGGUUGAGGGAGCUGGGUAUGUUUAGCCUGGAAAAGAGGAGACUGAGAGGAGAUAUGAUAGCCGUCUUCAAAUAUCUAAAGGGCUGUCACAUGGAAGAUGGAGCAAGCUUGUUUCUGUUGCUCUGGAGGGUAGGGCUCGAAACGAUGGAUUCAAAUUACAAGGAGGUUCCCACUAAACAUUUCAGAUGGUAAUAUCUGUUUGACAGUGGAACAGACGACCUCCGAGGAUGGUUGAUUGGAGGUUUUUAAACAGAGGUUGAAUGGCCAUCUUUAGCUGAGAUUCUGGCCUUGCGGUGUGUGUGUGUGUGUUUGUGUGAACCUCGGGGUCUCUUCCAACUCUACAAUUCUAAUAUUCCAGAAGGAGAGGGGUCGCUUGCCGUGGCACGCUGAGCCCCCCAAACUGCCAGUCUGGUGGCAAAUUCUGCAUAAAUUGCACAAACUGCAGCAGGUCCAGGAAGCACCAGGGAGCCUGCAAGGAGAGAAGGGUGGGGUGGUAGAGCAUCAGUAUGCUGCCCACAUGGAGCCAGAGAGUUUGACCCUUCCUAACAAUGACCCCGGAUGAGGCCAAUGAGGAGCUAGUGGGCAGAACACACCCACUUGGCAUGUUCCAUGAGAACUCCAGAGGAGGAAGAGCAGGGUGGAAUGGGCAGGCAGCUCCUGUGGUUGAAGCUUUGCAUUUAAGUCAAGCACCACAGGGUUUUGAGCCCCUAGUGCUUAAUGGCAGUUAAAUCUAGAGAAAUAAAUGUGUCUAAGAACCCUCAUUGUGAGUAAACAAAUGUGCCAAACUGCAUUUUAACUGGUAUCUAAUCUGCAAGCAAAUCAGUCUUAAAUAUCCAUCGUUGUAAAACAACCCUUUCACCACAUUGCUUAGCAUUUUUAGAAUAUCCAUUGGACCAGGAUCUUCAGUGUCAUUACAAACCUGUGCACAUCAACCAGUUUGUGCUCAAACGGAUGACUAAGAACAAAUAAUAGAAAGAAGGUUCUAAUAAUUAUAUAGAAUCUUUUUUAGUACAUGUUCUUUUAAAAUCAGACUUUUAGAAUUCCCUGAAUAGAAUGGAAUGCAAAUGAGAUAAGGGUUCCCAUAGGGUUGUUGAGUUCAUUAUUUGACCCUCCCCACAAGCCAAAUGCCAUUUUCAUGAUUCACUGCUGAGGAAAACCCAAGUUGAAAAACAACUGGCAUGCAAACCGUAAACUUCUUCACCACAUAUUUUAUUUCCUCUUUUUAGAGGGAAGCAAGCAGACCAAAGUUCCUGUUUGUGUUUUUUUUUAAAUGUCACCCUUCUGAAGUUAUGGUGAAUUCAAGGUGGUGUUGUAGUAGUGGCAAAAGAUAAAGUACGCAUUUCCACCAUCACUACCAGGUACUUAGUUGUGGGAAGAAGGGGAAUAUAUGUAAAUGGUGUCAGAGAGAUGCAUAUCUUUGGUGUUGUAGCUAUGCUCUGUGGAAAAUUACACAGUAGAGCAACUUUAAUGUUUUUCCUUGUUGCAGUCAGAAUUAUUCAGAAACUAUACUAGUUACAGGCAAGCUACCAAUCUCCCUCCCUUACCCUGAGUAAAUGAAAAAGUAAAAAGAACCAUUGGUUUCCUCUUUUCCAAAUUUCUGAUCGCAAAACUACUCAGUAAACAGUGCCCUCAAAGUGCAAAACAAAAAACCAGUGCAAAACAAAACAAAAAACUUUACACCAAGCAGUUAGCUGCUGACAGUGAUGCUCUACUUCUCAGAAAAACUUGUGUUUUUUUAAAAAAUAAAUAACAAGUGAUUUACAACAGCAGAAGCAAAUAUAUUUAUUGCUAGGUUAAUGUUUAUUGUUUGUAAUAACAUCUAAACUAAAACAUGAAAGAGACAGGCUACAGUACACGAGAAAUCCCUAGCUGUAGUUAUGCAUUGAUAAUGGUUAGAUAACUUGCCCUUUUUGGUUGCAAGCAGUAUGGGAGAUAGACAGGUACAGUUGUACCUCGGGUUACAAACUCUGCUAACCCGGAAGUAGUACCUCAGAUUGAGAACUUUGCCCCAGGAUGAGAACGGAAAUUGCGCCGCAGUGGUGUGGACGCAGCAGGAGGCCCCAUUAGCGAAAGCGCGCCUCAGGUUAAGAACUGUCUCGGGUUCAGAACGGACCUCCGGAAAGAAUUAAGUUCGUAACCUGAGGUACCACUGUAACUAACAAAUAAACAUUAAAAUGGGUUGUAGGACCUAUAGUCCUCUGGAUGCUAUUGGACUCCAACUUCCAUCAUCCCCAGCUAGCAUGGCUUAUAGUCUGGGGUGAUUGGAGUUGUAUUCCAACAACAUUCAGUGAGCCAUCGGUUUUCCAUCCCCUUAUUAACGUGAUAUUUUUCUCUUGAAAGCAAAGUGUUGAAGAGAACAAAGAGUUAAAUGUGUGGGUACAACUGAAACCAAGUGAUGCUAAAAAUAAAAGUGGAAUUUCCCACAAACACUGAAUGACAACUAAACGAGGAGGUAUGUGGCAACUUAAAAACUGACAAAUAUACUGUGGCAUGGACAUUUAUGAACUGAAGUGCAGUUCACACACACACACACACACACACACACACACACACAACUAUUUCAAACCCUCUAACAUUUCUCCAGUGAAAAUAGGGACGUCCUAGUUCAUCAUCAUCAUCAUCAUUUUAUUAUUUAUACUCCACCCAUCUGACUGGGUUGCCCCAGCUACUCUGGGCGGCUUCGAACAUAUAUAAAAACAUUAAACAUUUAAAAAGUUCCCCAUACAGGGCUGCCUUCAGAUGUCUUCUAAAGAUUGUAUAGUUACUUAUCUCUUUGGUUCGGCGGUCACAUAAUUCCAUACCUUCCAACAUUUCUCUGAUGAAAAUAGGACCAUCAUAAGGAAAGCAGGACAUUCUGGAAUCAAAUCAGAAACCAGGACGGCUUCUGUAAAUCCAGGCCUGUCCCUGGAAAAUAUGAGACACUUGGAGGGUCUGCUAUUUUCAUGCCUAACUGAACCACUGUGGUCAACCUCCUCAGUUGCAAUCCUCUGUAAAUGUUCCCCAGUGCCAUAAUUCAACUUGAAAAUGGCUUCCUAUUGACUCCAGGAGGGGCUUUUUCAGUCUAAAACCUUCAUGGAGGGAAUGGGGGUGGGCCUGUUGUACGCUGGUUGAGGAGGCUCCAUAGGCCACUUCCAGCCUACAGACUGCUGGUUCUUCAUCCCACUAUGUAAGCUAGGGUUAUUUGCUACAACCUUUGGCGAAAGUACUGUCUUACUAUACUAAUUAAUCUCUACAUAGUUAGAUGGACAACCUCUGCACUGUGGGAGGAAGUGGAGACUGAGGGACACAGGCAAAGUCAGCAUCAACGCAUUCUCCAUUUGGACUUCUCCCUCCCUCGCCUGUUCAAUCAUAUUUUUUUCAGUCCUUUUAAACUGUAAACCACCUUGGGCGCCUUGGCAUAAAGACAGUAUACAAAUGC